CUCUCUCCAUCCGAGUCCAUUUUGGACUCUCCCGUUAGCAUAUCCUCGAGUUUAAGUUUGAGUCUACCUCCUCGAUCCAACAAAGUUAAAAAGUAAGCUGAACUACAGGUGGAAGAGAGGCCGAGAUACGGCCGGUAUACAUGUUGAAUUCGCCGGAUAUACAAGAAGUAUACAUCGAUAUACGAUGGUUGUAUAUGUUGUAUACAUCAGCAAAAAUCGGGCCAAAAGCCCCAAAAAUUUCCAGCUUUGUAUUUUGUUUAAUUGGGCCGAAACCCAUAUAUUUUAGAAAUUAUUUUGAUAGUUUUAGGGCAGGUGAAAGUUGGGCCAAAAGUCCAAAAGAAAGUUAAUUUUUUAUGAUAGUUUAAGACAGGUACAUAUGGGCCAAAGGUCCAAAGCAAAAAUUAGGCCCAAGUAUUGGCCCAGGCGAACAGAAACCAGACUUGGGCCCAAAUCUUCCUCUCUCCUUAUUAUAUAUAUCGUGUUAAUUUUAUUGUUAGUAUAUGCAUAUUUACUAAUUAAUUUUAAGGUUUUUAACUCAUAAUUCCCCAAAGGACACCCAUUUUGAGUUAGUUAACUUAUAGUACUUUAUCUUAAAAUAACCAAGUAUAUUUGUCUUUCCAAAUUGAAUUCUAAAAAAUUUAGAAGCUUUUCUCUAAUUAGACAUUUUUGAUAAUAUAUUCCCUUUCCUCUCUAAAUGAUUUUAAGUUAUAAAAUUCAUUUAUUCCGUAACUAGUCAAGCAUGCCUAUUGUUAGCCAAAUAUUUUAAUUGUCAGAUAAGCGCAAGUAAGCGGACAUUUUAGGUUCUUUCAAAACCUGUCUAAAACGUUAAUAUGAACCCCGAACCCCCUUUAAAGAUUUUCAUUAGAUUUUCUGUUUUUAAUCUUUUGAAAGAAUAGAAAAAUUAAGUGGCGACUCUUAAAACCCGUCGUUUUCUUUUUUUAAAAUAUAAAACAUAAUGCGACUCUGUUGGGGAAUUGAAUGGGUUAUAACCUUAAAAUUAACUUAUUUGGCUAUUUGUUUAAAUUGCUUAAUUGUUUCAAUUCUUGUAUAAUAUAAACUGUGACAUUCAUGGCUUCGAUUCCGCCAAAUGGCAAAUAGUUUGCAUUAGAAAAAAAGGUGGUUAUGUGGCUUUCCACGGCUGUCCUUCAGAAAAGUACCUUCAAAUUCUUUUGAAGUGAUAAACGAAUAGUUGGCUUGUGAUCAUCCAACGUUGUUUAUUAUACUUCACCCCGUAGUUUGUCCAACUCGGUUAACCAGGUCUUGUCUCAAAACCAACUCUUAGUCAACUAGCGUAGAGCGAAACCAAAUCCCUUUUAGCGCAUUGAACUAAGAUGACCCAAUACCCAAGGCGUGUUGGGCAUAUUAGAGAGACCACCUUGAGUCCAAAACUGCCGACGGCCCAAAUGGACGUUCAUAUUUAUGUGUUAAAUUUGAAAGAUGUAUACAUUUUUUAAAAACUCAUUGUCCCUUGGGGUAAGGAGUAGAUUAUAGCCUAUUAUAGUCAAAGAAAGAUCUUUAUAAGCUACUAAUCGAUCCAAAGGCAUUGUCACCCGGAGACGACAACAAGUUCAAGAAAGAUGGAUUUUCCAUGAAGGCAUAACUUAGGAUUGUACCUGUCACGACCCAAGCCUAGGGCCUAGACGUGACAUGGCGAAUGAGGAACCCGAAGGAACCCCAAACAAGCCUCUCAAACUUGUCAUCACACUUCAUCGGUCGCGGAAGUACAUUCAACAUUAAUUAACUGGAAAUAGGGACUAAGGGCAAACCAUUUCAAAAUGACAUCAUAGAACAAGAGUCAAGCUCAUUUACAAAAUACUUGUCCAACGCACACCUCUACAUACAUAGAUAGGACGGGGGCCAUGACAUAUUACCGGCUCCCCUCAUAGUCAAAAUACAAUUGCAAGCUAAAGUCUCAAAACAUAGGAGUAGGAAACAUAACAUAGCCCUCGAAUCAUUGAGGACUCACCAACAACUCGGAUAAGCACCGUACUAGCCACAUGAAUGAAGAGAAGGAUCAAGAGUAACUCCGGUCCCUACAUGGUGACAUCAUGUAGGCAAAAUAUACGUUAGUACUUGGAAUGUACUAAGUAUGCGGGGUACAACACAACAAUAGACAAGGACACAAUCGAAAUACAAGAAAUAGUUUCAUAGGCAUUAUGAAUAACAAUAUGAGGAUGCAUGAUCAAAGUGAAGUCAAAACAUGUUUAAGUAACUCUAUACUAAUAGUAGAUAUCAUAUGUGUAUGCAUGAUCCAACCAAUCUAUAACCCAACUUAGGAUGGGGGAUGCCGUUCACACCCGGACACCCUGGUGGCAAGGUAUAAACCCCUCACAUGGUUGAUGUUGGUCACACCCCAAGCAUCCUAGGUGGUGAGAUAUAAACCUCUCACAUGGUUGAUGUUGGUCACACCCCAAGCAUCCUAGGUGGUGAGAUAUAAACCUCUCACAUGGUUGAUGUUGGUCACACCCCAAGCAUCCUAGGUGGUGAGAUAUAAACCUCUCACAUGGUUGAUGUUGGUCACACCCCAAGCAUCCUAGGUGGUGAGAUAUAAACCUCUCACAUGGUUGAUGUUGGUCACACCCCAAGCAUCCUAGGUGGUGAGAUAUAAACCUCUCACAUGGUUGAUGUUGGUCACACCCCAAGCAUCCUAGGUGGUGAGAUAUAAACCUCUCACAUGGUUGAUGUUGGUCACACCCCAAGCAUCCUAGGUGGUGAGAUAUAAACCUCUCACAUGGUUGAUGUUGGUCACACCCCAAGCAUCCUAGGUGGUGAGAUAUAAACCUCUCACAUGGUUGUCCGGUUCUUUUCCCCCGGACCGGGCAUGGUCAUGCAACACUUUAUAUAGGAAAUUCCCAUUAGGCUCUAAUGCAAUCUCACGUAUGGAAUGAACAUAUACACAAGCUUAGUUUGUCAUCAACACAUCUCUGGAUUUCCAUACAUCUCAUAACUCAAGCUUUAAAGCAUCGAUUCAUCAAUUCUCCAUAGUUGGACAUUUUGUCAAACACCUUGAAGGCAUGUAAUGGAAUCAAAGAGCAUGGAAAAUAGGGUAGUAAUUAUGCAGCCAAACCAGUGAACAACCUACAACAACACCUUUUUAACACCCACAAUACCACAUGAAAAUCUCCACAUCCAUUCCAAAUUUAGGUUCAAGUUCUAGGGUCACAACAUGCUCAAAACAAUCACUUUUCAUGUUUAAAAUUCAAUGUGCAGGAAAUUAUUACAAAGAACAAGACUAAUUUAUGAAUCUUAACUUAAACCAUGAAUUAGUGAGUAGAAUAGAGUCUAGGCACUAUGGGUGGAAGGACCCAUGAGUUACCACAUACCUUGAGUUUCUUUUUAUGAAGGUCUUGAGAGUGUCUUCAAUGGAAGCUUGAAACUUGGAGCAAGAAUCUCUUCAAUCUUGAGGAAGGUUUUGGAUUAGGGUUCUUGAGAGAACUUGAGAGAAAAUGUGUCUAAGUAUGGGAGAGGUGUUUUUGGGAAAUGUUUUAGAGAUGGGAAUUGAACUAAUGGUAUAUAGGAAAUAACAUAUGCCCUUUGGAAAAAAUGGUCCAACACUUAGAAAAAAAUGAGGCGGGUGAACAGUAAAAACGCUCACUGGAAAUUGUCUUUCCUGCCGGACAGAUUUUACGAAAAUGGGCAUAACUUCUUCGUCCGAACUCCGAAUGAGGUGAAACGAAGUGCGUUAGGUAGCUAACUCAAAGGGCUUUCCAUAGAUAUGUUAUUGGCCACCCAAUAAUUUGUGUGCUAGGAGAUAUGACCCUCCAAAGUAGACCCUCGAAAAAGGCUUCACUUGGAAAUUUUGGAUUUUGAUACGGUUGCUCUAAAAAUUUGGGUUAGACCCCAUUUCCCACUCAAUUUGACCCCCCUAAACAAGAAUAUGAAAUCGGAUUUUCGAAAAACGAAACGGAUUUUUUUAUAUAUAGCUAAACAAGUUUCCGGUAACUUCCGAAGCACAUUUUUAAGAACUUUUUGGGUCAUUUCAGUACCCCUGCAUGGGACUGAUUAUUGUAUCCAUUUUCCCUAUUAUGUAUCCCUAUUCAGUUUUAUUCGCAAAGCUUGUAUAAAUUUGGGUUUUGGGGAAAUGUGAUGUUUCAAAUGAUGUAUACAUCUUUCAAAUCGUUAGGCCUAGCCUUGGCACAAAAGGGUCACAUAUAUGUUUAGAACGCCCAAUUUUGUUUAUGUGUUAUAACUGUUUGUGUGAAUAUGUUGCUUUAUUAGAAGAUGUUCUAGCCUACUCUAUAGGAAAUUUUCUAGAACCCCUAAGCACAAAUAACAAGUCAUUAUCGAAAAUACGUCUAAAUACUCCUCGAGUCUUUAGUUUCUCAACAAAACCUGAAUUUUAUUUUGAAUAUUACUCUCUCAUCUCAGAAAAAAGGUCAAUUCUUCAUCUCAAAAUCAAAAGGAGAUUCAAGUUGAUCGAACUACAUAGGACCUGAAUUCUCCCUCAUGAGAUAUGUAGGCAACCUUUCAAGGCUCGGUCCCCAUUUUUGAGAAAUUAUUUCUUUUCCAACUCUUGCAAGGAAACUAGAGUUACAUCUCGUUCGAAAAUCAAAAGUACUACGAUGAAAGAUACAAAGGGAUUUUGACUCAAUGCAAGUCAACAUUCCUGAUUCACUAACUCCAAAAUUAAAUAGACAAUUUUUUGUCUAUUUAGUCAUCUCCUAUAUUUGUGGCUAAUUUAUCUUCACAUAAAGCAACUUUUGUGUGCUUAUUAUGUUGUGUGUGAUAUCUUGUAUUACUUAUUACCUACACAAACUAACACAUUUGCCUUUUGAGUUAUUUUUCUUUGUGAGGUACUCAAAACUGAUUUGUGUUGAGAAAUUGGUUGAACAUUAAAAGUUCUCAAAGAUUCCAUCCUCAAUCGAAAUUUGUUGAAAGGAAAAAGAAAUGACUCAAAAUAGUGAGAAUAUUGGCCUAACCGAAGUUGCUAUAGUCCAACCCCCUGCCGUUGAACAAAAUGAGUUUCAUAGUUGAUCCAACAGAUUGCUAAAAUGAGGGUUGAGCUCCAGAGAAAGCAAGAUUUGCCAAUUCCGGCUGUCAAUGUCAACACUCUAGGUGAUGGAAGGCUUCCACUCAAUUUUCCUCCUAUGAAUUCAAACUCGGAACAUGUCCUUAAUAACCUACCCUCCAACCCUGCUCAAAAUCCCUCCACCAUCGGCUUAACUACUCCAAAUCUUCAGCACACCAUCACUUCAUGCCAAACAUUCCCUCCCUUUCAAAGCCUAAAUGUCAACAAUCCUCAAAUAUCUCUUUUCAUGUACCAGACCCCUUCUCAAGGAACUCAAAAUCCACCAAACACUCAAUCCUUACCUACAAAAGUAACUUUUGAUAUUUCUGUCCACACCGAAUCACACCUUCACUAUACUGCAUAUUCUAAACUUGACCACUACGAAGAGAAGGAGAAGGAGUGGAGGACCAAAGAGGAAAUGACUAAGAAGAUCAUGAAGGACGAGAUUGUGGAAGCGAUAAAAGAACUUCAUUACUCUUCAGAUGUUGUGGGGUUGUACUACGAAAAUUUAUGCAUUCAUCCGAAUUUAGACCUUCUGGGAGGGUUCAAAGUGCCAAAGUUCGUCACUUUUAAUGGAACUGAAAAUCCUCUAUCACAUCUGAAAGUUUAUUGUGAUCAACUCGUGGGAGUUGGAAAAAAUGAAGCAUUGUUGAUGUGUUUCUUCAAACGAAGUCUAAAUGGAGAAGCUCUGGAGUGGAAUACAUUACAAGAAUUAAAACAAUGGACGAGUUGGAAUGCACUCGCAAAGGAUUUCACUGAAAGAUUUGGACAUAAUGUAGAAGUUGCCCUUGAUCUCUACUAUUUGGAGAAAACCAAACAGAAGUCCACAGAAAACUAUCGAGAGUACGCUCUUCGUUGGAGAAAAGAGGUUGCUAGAGUUCAACUUCCCAUGUCUGAACAUGAGAUCACUGAAAUGUUUAUUUGAACUCAAAAGCCUGAGUACUAUGAAAGAAUGUUGUGUAUGAUGGGACAAAAAUUUGUUGAGAUCGUCAAGGUGGGAAAAGCUUUGGAAGAUGGUUUCAAGACUAGAAAAGUCACAAACCUUACCGCAUGGCAAGCUAAUGGAAAAGCUACCAGGAUCAGUGAUAUUGAUAUAUCAAAGGGAAAAGACGAAGAUGUAUAUGUUGUCAUGGCUACCUAUAUGAGUUCGGCUUCACAAAGAAAAUAUCAAAACCACAAUGUCAAUCAGAAAAAAUUUCCCCAUCCAAACUUCAGGAAGGCUACUAAGGUAUUUACACCAAUAAGGGAAUCUCAAACUCAACUUUAUGAAAGGUUGAAAGCAAUGGGUAUGCUCCAUCCUUUAGAAGGAAGAACAGCCAAUCCUUUAGGGAAAUUUCACAGGGCUGACCACAGAUGUGCUUAUCAUUCAGGGGUUGUUGGACGUGACACAAAAAAUUGUUUAACCCUCAAGCACAAGAUUCAAAACAUGAUCAACAACAAUUUGAUCAAUAUUGAGGAAACCACCUCAGAGGAUAACAUAUUAGAUGCUUAAGAGUGAGUGCAAGACUUUUCUAAACUGAGUCAUUUGAAGAUAUUCGUCAUCAAAGGUCGAAAAGAAGUAUGCCCAGCAUUGGCCAAAAUUCUACAUAUGAAGUUAUUGUUAUCUUUCUUUUGAAAAUGUAUAUUUAAUCUUUUUCUUCACAUUUUAUCGCACGUUCCUUGUAAUGAACUACGCUGACCUAAAUUCUCAAGAAUGAGAUACAUAGGCGGCAUGUGUCGGCCUCGGUUACCCCUUUAUUCAACUUUUAAUAUUUUCUUUGUACUUGAACUACAUUCGAUUUGAAUUCUCAAGAAUGAGAUACGUAGGCGGCCUAUGUCGGCCUCGGUCGUUUCCUUAUCAAAAUUUCCUAUUUUGUUAAUCCUUGAGAGAGGGAACUACGUUUGACCUGAUUCCUGCAUCAAUGGGAUACGUAGGUGCCAUAACGGCUCGGUCAUAUUCCCCGUAAGAUUUCCAUCUCACUUUUAAUGGAAACUGGGACAUAAUUUUUUAGAGGAUCUCAAAAAUUCAUUUGAAGGUGGGCUUCUUCAACAAGUCAAAGACUAAAGAUCAAAAUGCAACUGAGUUAGUUUUGAGUGGAUCUCGAAAAAUUAAGGUGAAAUUUUCUAGAGAAUCUAGUUUGCAACUGGGACAGAAUUUUUGAGAUCAUCUCAAAAAUACCACAAAAAUGUCAUUUGUUAAAAAACUUAUACUUAUUAUUAUUGAGGCAAACUGGGACAAAAUUUUGAGAAGGGACCUCAAUAUUCCAGAAUGAGCAACCUCAGAAUUAACAAAGCAAGUUACAAGAGUUUUUCCGUAUUUUAGACUGGGACAGAAUUUUUGAGAAGGGUCCUCAAAUAUUCCAUCAAGACUAUCUUACAAAGGACGGACGAGCGUAUAAGCCCACUGCAUGAAGACAAAACCAACACAAAUCAGUCUUUCGUGCUAAAAAAAAUUCUUUGGAUGCAGGAAUAUCGAAGUCACAAAAAUGGCAAUGUAAAGCUGUCACGUGUGACAAAAGGCGUCAUUUACACCCAUCAUGGCCUCAUCAACAUAACUUAGAAAACUUUCCAUCUCAUUUUAUCUUAUUUCAUUAUGUUGCCUCAAGUGAUUUAGAAACAGUCUCUUUUUAUUUUGCAGGAAUAUUGAAGACAAACGCUAAUAGAUUCUUUCAAAGUUUUAAGAAACAACUUGUUGGAGGAUUGCUAGUGAUGAGUCAUGAUCAAAGUCACAAUUAGGCUCACCACAACCUGAUCUUGAUAAGCCAAAUAACUUAAUCUAGCGCUUUAUCUUUAAUUUAUUCUUUACUUCAUCGUCGAUACUAAUGUUUGGUGUCAAGCUUUGCAGGUGAUAGUAUUGGUAAAGUCAGGAUCAUCUGUGAAAUCGACAUCAAAUCUGAAGAUGAUCAAAAGUGACAUUAUCUUAGAAGUAUUGCAAGGGAAAAUUACCAAGUCCAUCACAUCAGAAAAGAUGAUGGAGAUUGGAAUAUCCUCAUGACAUUCGAGUUAUCAAAUCGUUACAAGUUAUCAAUAACGAUUGAAGAUGUCAGCAACAAACUCAAAUUUUGUUGAGUUUGUCAAAGAAGACGGGAGUGAAUUUAAUCUUCAUGUGAAGGAAUUAAGUCAUUCAGCUCGAUAAUUCUAUUUUUUAAAGAGAGAGUUAUGGUCGCAACGUGCAUAUACGUCGAUAAAGUUUUUUUUAGUAUGAUUGUCGCGUAGCAAUUUAGACAUACGUGUUUCUUUACAAUGUUAGGGUCAAGAUUUCAAAAUUUGUUAGGUAUCCACCCCAUAAGUGGAUUAUAUGUUUUGAUUGGCUGAUCAAAUAUUUUAGUAUAUAAUUUUGUUGGGUGAUCCACCCUAUAAGUGAUUCGUAUAUUUGUUUGUCCAUUUCAGGUUCCUAUUUUGAACUAUGUUGGAUAAUUAUCGAGCAUCCACCUCGUUACAGCUGAGAUAUUAUCGAGCCAUCCACCUCGUUACAGUUGGAAUAGUAUCGAGCCAUUCAUCUCAUUACAUUUGGAAUAUUAUCGAGUCAUCCACCUCGUUACAGUUGGACUAUUACCGAGCAUCCACCUCGUUACAAUUGGAAUAUUAUCGAUCCAUCCACCUCGUUAAAGUUGGAAUAUUAUCGAGCCAUCCACCUCGUUAAAGUUGGAAUAUUAUCGAGCUUCCACCUCGAUACAACUGGAAUAUUAUCAAGUCAUCCACCUCGUUACAGUUGGAGUAUUACCUAGCAUCCACCUCGUUACAGUUGGAAUAUUAUCGAUUCAUCCACCUCGUUAUAGUUGGAAUAUUAUCGAGCCAUCUAUCUUGUUAUAGUUGGAAUAUUAUCGAGUCAUCCACCUCGUUACAAUUGGAAUAUUAUCGAGCAUCCACCGAAUAUUAUCGAGCUUCCACCUCGUUACAAUUGGACUAUUAUCGAGCAUCCACCUCGUUACAGUUGGAUUAUUGUCAAGCCAUCUAGCUCGUUGCAGAGAUCAUCGGAGUUCGCCAUGCACAUAACAAGCAAUGACAUCUCCAAAUCCUCACCAAAUCAUGAGUUAAUGGACAUACGGCGUUCGAAGGCGGUAUCCAUUAUCUUUUACUCUCAAUACUUCUUUAUUUUCUCAUCUAGUUGAAAAAGAUGUUUAUGCUUAUCCAUUAAGAUAUACUCUUUUAUUAUAUGAAUGAUCUUUUUUUUUUUUUUAUUCAAGCCACUAGCUAAAGCGGCACUAUGUCUACUGAUUGUUUACUUUGAGUGUGCAGAUAUAUACUGAACAUACCUAUAUGACAUCUUUCAAAGCAAGAGUGAUUUUAAAACACCAAGACGAUGGUGUAUCCACUGAAAUGUGCAAGAAGAUAACUGAAAAGCAUCGUAACAGAUGCUACCAUUUUUCCAGUUACAGCUUCUACUAACAAGUUUAUUUCAGUCUUUGUCGAGAGCAUCCAAGAGGAUGAAUUCUCAAAUCAAACCAGAGGUGCGGACGACAUCAACAAGGAUGCAGCACAAAGUGGAACUUUUUCUUAGCAGAGAACGGGGACAUAGUCCGGAGAGGAGUACCAAACUCUUAGGACGCGAGCUGAGAAGCGACUUCCACCACAAUCAAACCACACCCCUAUCAAAAGGCAUGUGUGUUUUCUUUGGGUUUUAUCGGUUUCAAUUUCUCAUCCAAAAAAAUUUGGUGUUUCACCGGAAACAACUUUCCAAUCUGAGUGACAAUGCGCCAAGAGCUUUGGAAAUUAUAUUAGUGUAAGUUCUUACUUAUGGGUGUGAAGCACGCCACAAUUCAUGGCUAAGAAGUUACAAGCCUCCUUUUCAUACUCGACUUAUUUUGUCUCUUCUCGACCAAAGAUUAUCUUGCAUAAUAUAUUUCCUUUUCAACUGAUCGAGUCGAACUACAAACAGCCUGAUUCCUUGGGUUGAAGGAUAUGUAGGCGGGCUCAAUGUUGAAAACUCGGCUGUAUUCCAACAAUCUCUCUCAAAUCUUAGUCCCGAGCAUUCUGAUUUCUUCAUAAUUUGAUAUCGGGAUACCUUUUGAAUUCUUUCAGAAUCGUGCGUGAAAUCAAGUCUGUUGAACUAUAAGUGGCAUAAAUUCUCAUAUAGCCGGAGAUAUGUAGGAAACCCAUUACCAGGGGUUCAACCAUAAUUCCUAAAGUCCGUACCAAAAACUCUUUUCUAAAGGAUGAAGAUGUGGUCGGUCAAAAUUGGAUCUGUCAAUUUCAUUUGCCUCAGAUUUCUUUCAUCAAUCCAAGUCAAACGAGGGACAAUUGUUGACUUUCAAUAUUGAACCUCCACAAUAAAAAUUAAUCAUCGAGCUUCUUAAAUUCCAAACAAUUUGAAAUAAUUAGUUUUUAUAAAGUUCAAAAUAAUUUUCAAGUUAGUUUUAAUUAAUUUCAUCAUUUUUAUAAUUUUUAAAUAGUAUAUUUUAUAAAUAUUCGAAAGUCAUCUCAAAAAGAUUUUGUUUAUUUGAAUAUUUGGCUAAUUAGUUUAAUCAUUCAAUAGUUUAUAUUUUUGAGUUAAUUAGUUCGUAAUUUAGUUGAUUAUUUUAUUUCGUUAGAAUUAAGAAGCUCAUUAAUUCGUCUUAUUUUAAUUUUGGCUAAUUUCAACCAAGUGCCUCAAUUUGAUCGAAAUUGCAAUUUUACGUGGUUAUUUUCUUAAUUCAAAUCGACCACAUUCUUGGUUAUCUUUUCGGACCCAAUUCUUAUUCCAUUAUUUCCAGCAACCAACAGACUUGGCCCAAACUUUCAUUCAGCAAUUGCCAACCCAACACCAAUUCCUCCACCAACCCGGCCCAAGCCAAAUCAAAAGAAACCAAUACAACAAUACUACGAUCCAAACGUACAGCAAUACCAAAAUAGUACCCGACCGAUCCGACCCUGUACUGUUCUUCUUCCUUGCGAUAAAAAAUCCAGGAAAUCGCGAGCCCAGCGGAUCAGAACCCGAACCAACAACCCAUCCUCUCCUCUCUAUACGAAGCAAUCCAGGUGUUGCAAUCUCAAUGCUCGAUCGUCCUUCUCUAGAAAUCAGACGGCUCCCUUCAUUUUUCAGUUGAAGAAUUGUACAAGAUCGUACUAAUUCCAGCAACCUUAUCCUUUAGAGGAGAAUUUGAAAUUCGAAUGGGAAUUCAUCCAAAAACCCACCCAAUUUCCCCCUUUUUCAGCCCUAUUCUCCUCUAUUUAAGCCUCUUUCUUCUUUAUUGCUAGAGGCUGAAGAAAAGGUUGGGAAUUUCAACUGAUAUAGAGAGAACUACCUAGCAAGAAAUAGUUAUAGAAAUUACAUAUGAAAUACGUUUGAAAUAGAUAGGAGGUUCAGUUUGAUCUCACUGUCGUGGUCUCGUUCAUUGAGACUUUUGGAGUUUCAUUGUGGUGGUGAUAGCACUCGUUUCAAGCUCGUCCUCCUGGUCUCGCUGCUCCGAAAAAGGUAAUUCCUUUCCCUUUAUUAAGUUCCUGCUUGUGUUGUUACCGUGUGUUAUUGAUUACCUUAUUUCUUAAUGUUCUACCCGACUCUUCUUAAAUUCUUUCAAUGCUCCGUCUUAAUUUUAUACAGAGCUUGUCGCGUUAGCAUUCAGAGUUUGGUUUGUUUUCUAUUAGAUUUGUAUAAUCGCGAUUCUUGUCUUAAACUCUGCUUGGCCGUAAAGUUCGACUCCUUCACUGUGUGUGGUGAUAUAGGUGUAAUUGUAGUCAUUUCUCUUUUGUUUUAAUACACUGUUCCAAACUCUUUAUCAAUAUUUAUGGCUUAACUAUUCUGUUUGAGAACUAGAUAGUUUCAAGUCAUUUAUGUGGGAUUCAUGCUUCAGAUAAUUGUUUGCUAGCCAUAUGUUUUUUUUUUUUUGUAUUUAUUUAAAGAGUGUUGAUUUAUUUUUUCUUGUUUAGAUGACCAAAUUUAUAUAUAUGGGUGCAUGCUUAUCUUUGGUCUCGGUAGAAGCUUUAAUGUGCAACAUAGUAUGUAUAAUUUUCUUUUUAUUAAUGCAUGUUAAUUGAUGUGAUAAUGCUAAUUACCAUUUCAUACCGCUUUGCUGCCUAAAUUUGAAGUUUAGUUCAAUUUUAGUUCUAUUUGUUGACUUCUCUCCUUGUCGACUUGUUAAUCUAUUAGAUUAAGUUGUUGGUCAUUCAAGCACAAUCCAUGUAUUAAUACACUUAAUAACCCUUUAACAAGUUGAUAUUUUUGCAUGAUGCAGUUACUGUCGUAGAUCUUGUUCAUUGAUCAAUUGCUAAUUAUUUUUAUUUCAUCUUGUGCAUGAUCUCUCUCCAUCCGAGUCCAUUUUGGACUCUCCCGUUUGCAUAUCCUCGAGUUUAAGUUCGAUUCUACCUCCUCGAUCCAACAAAGUUGAAAAGUAAGCUGAACUACAGGUGGAAGAGAGGCCGAGAUACGGAAGGUAUACAUGUUGUAUACGUUGAAUUAACAAGAUAUACAAGAAGUAUACAACGAUAUACGAUGGUCGUAUACGCUGUAUACAUCAGCAAAAAUAGGGCCAAAAGCACCAAAAAUUUCCAGCUUUGUAUUUUGUUUAAUUGGGCCGAAACCCAUAUAUUUUAGAAAUUAUUUUGAUAGUUUUAGGACAGGUGGAAGUUGGGCUAAAAGUCCAAAAGAAAGUUAAUUUCUUAUGAUAGUUUAAGACAGGUACAUAUGAGCCAAAGGUCCAAAGCAAAAAUUAGGUCUAAGUACUGGCCCAGGCGAAUAGAAACCAGACUUGGGCCCAAAUCUCCUUCUCUCCUUAUUAUAUAUUUCGUGUUAAUUUUAUUGUUAGUAUAUGCUUAUUUGCUAAUUAAUUUUAAGGUUCUUAACUCAUAAUUCCCAAAGGACACCCAUUUUGAGUUAGUUAACUUACAGUACUUUAUCUUAAAAUAACUAAGUAUACUUGUCUUUCC
Molecule: long non-coding RNA, 12829 nt
Filed under: Solanum tuberosum (potato)
Lineage: Eukaryota; Viridiplantae; Streptophyta; Magnoliopsida; Solanales; Solanaceae
Description: long non-coding RNA (STUB_LNC004576)
Source: RNAcentral